Molecule: non-coding RNA, 3720 nt
Organism: Podarcis lilfordi (Lilford's wall lizard)
Lineage: Eukaryota; Metazoa; Chordata; Lepidosauria; Squamata; Lacertidae
Source: the annotation of a GenBank genome assembly
CAGGGUUCGCUCUGAUUGUUUAGAAAUACACAAUCGCUUUGAGGUCCUCUCCCCUAGCAUGGAAGACGAAGAGCAGACUCCAUUUGAGGAUCUCUCCCUCAUUACAGUCGAUCAGGUAUAUGAAGACGAGCAGCAAAGUCAGUCCUCAGGGAAUGUGCAGGCGACCUUGGAGCGGACAGCUCACAGAAGAACCCCGGCCAAACCUAAGAGGAGGCGUGUAGUGGUGAUAGGGGAUUCCCUACUGAGGGAACAGAAGCAGUGAUCUGUGGGCCUGACAAGAUGUCUCGGGAAGUGUGCUGUCUCCCCGGGGGCUAAGAUCCAAGAUGUAACUGAACGACUGCAAGGAAUCAUAAAACCCACUGACAAAUACCCCUUCCUCUUGGUUCACGUGGGAACCAAUGACACUGCAAGCAAUAGCCUCCAGAAGAUCAAAAGAGACUACGAGGCUCUGGGCAGGAAAUUGAAGCAAUUAAAUGCACAAAUUGUGAUCUCAUCUGUCCUCCCAGUUGAACGACGUGGCCCAGGGAGAGGGGGAAAAUAGUGGAAGUGAACAGCUGGCUUCGCAAAUGGUGUAAACAGGAACGGUUUGGAUUCUUAGAUCACGGACUGCAGUUUCUUGAAGAUGGACUUCUGGCAAGCGAUGGGCUGCACCUCACAACGGUUGGGAGAAAUGUUUUUGCCAAAAAUCUCAGAAACCUCAUCAGGAGGGCUUUAAACUGACUAAUGUGGGGGAGGGAGAUAGUGCUCCUGAAGGUAGGAGUCUAUCAAUUGAUGAAGAUGAUCAUCCAAAUGUCAUAGACCAAAUGGAGCAAACAGCACACAGACCUAGUGGUGGGAGGAAAAAAUCCUUAAAUAAGAGUCACGGGGAAAUGAUUAAUGGACUUCAAUGUCUGUACACUAAUGCGCAAAGCAUGGGAAAUAAACAAGAUGAGCUUGAGCUCUUGGUACAGCAAACUAAAUAUGACAUAAUAGGCAUCACUGAAACCUGGUGGGAUAAGUCCCACGAUUGGAAUGUAAUAAUGGGGGAUACAAUCUAUUUCAGAGAAACAGACCAGACAAGAAAGGAGGAGGAGUGGCGUUAUAUGUCAGGGAUGUGUAUACCUGUGAAGAGAUCCAAGAUUUAGAACCUCAAAGCCAAAGUGAGAGCAUUUGGGUCAAAAUUAAGGAGAGAAGAAUAACAGUGACCUCAUUGUGGGAGUUUACUAUAGAUCCCCAAGCCAAACGGAGGACAUAGAUGAUGCCUUCCUGGAACAGAUGGCCAAGCAUGCAAAAGGAAGGGAGAUAGUAGUAAUGGGGGACUUCAAUUACCCGGAUAUUUGUUGGAUGUCAAACUCAGCCAAGAGCAUAAGGUCAAACAGAUUCCUCACUGGCCUUGCAGACAACUUCAUUGUCCAGAAAGUGGGAGAAGCAACAAGAGGAACAGCCAUUUUAGAUCUGGUCCUAACCAAUGUUGAUGACCUGGUUAGUGGGGUAGAAGUGGAAGGAUCAUUAGGCGCAAGUGAUCAUGCUCUUCUGAAGUUUACUAUACAGCGGAAAGGAGCAGCCAAGCAUACUAGGACUCAAUUUCUUGACUUUAAGAAAGCUGACUUCAUAAAACUUAGGGAAGUGCUGGGUGAGAUCCCAUGGACAGUAAUACUAAAAGGAAAGGGAGUUCAUGAUGGCUGGGAGUUUGUUAAGAGGGAGAUACUAAAAGCACAACGUCAGGCAAUACCAAUGAGACGGAAACAUGGAAGGUGCCUAAAGAAGCCAGGGUGGCUAUCUAAAGAACUUUUAACUGAGUUAAGAUUAAAAAAGGAUGUGUACAAAAAAUGGAAAAGGGGGGAAACCACCAAAGAGGAAUUCAAACAAAUAGCCAGCACGUGUAGACACAAAGUCAGAAAAGCUAAAGCACAGAAUGAACUCAGGCUUGCUAGAGAGGUUAAAAGCAACAAAAAAGGCUUUUAUGGGUAUGUCCGUAGCAAAAGGAAGAACAAAGAAACAGUGGGGUCACUCAGAGGAGAAGAUGGUGAAAUGCAAACAGGGGACACAGAAAGAGCUGAACUCCUCAAUGCCUUCUUUGCCUCAGUCUUCUCCGAUAAAGAAAACAAUGCCCGACCUGAAGAAUUUGGAGCAAAUGAUUCAGCAAAGGAAACACAGCCCAGAAUAACUAAGGAGAUAGUACAAGAAUACUUGGCUAGUUUAGAUGUAUUCAAGUCUCCAGGGCCAGAUGAACUGCAUCCAAGAGUAUUAAAAGAACUGGCAGAUGUGAUCUCAGAACCACUGGCAGUCAUCUUUGAGAAUUCCUGGAGAACAGGCGAAGUCCCGGCAGACUGGAGGAGGGCAAAUGUUGUCCCUAUUUUCAAAAAGGGAAAAGAGAGGACCCAAAUAAUUACCGCCCAGUCAGUCUGACAUCAAUACCAGGGAAGAUUCUGGAGCAGAUCAUUAAGCAAACAGUCUGUGAGCACCUAGAAAGGAAUGCUGUGAUCACCAAUAGUCAGCAUGGAUUUCUGAAAAAUAAGUCAUGUCAGACUAACCUGAUCUCGUUUUUGACAGAAUUACAAGCCUGGUGGAUGAAGGGAACGCAGUGGAUGUAGCCUACCUUGAUUUCAGCAAGGCAUUUGACAAGGUGCCUCAUGAUAUUCUUGUAAAGAAGCUGGUAAAAUGUGGUCUUGACUAUGCUACCACUCAGUGGAUUUGUAACUGGCUGACUGACCGAACCCAAAGGGUGCUCAUCAAUGGUUCCUCUUCAUCCUGGAGAAGAGUGACUAGUGGGGUGCCACAGGGUUCUGUCUUGGGCCCGGUCUUAUUCAACAUCUUUAUCAACGACUUGGGUGAUGGACUCAAGGGCAUCCUGAUCAAAUUUGCAGAUGACACCAAAUUGGGAGGGGUGGCUAACACCCCAGAGGACAGGAUCACACUUCAAAACGACCUUGACAGAUUAGAGAACUGGGCCAAAACAAACAAGAUGAAUUUUAACAGGGAGAAAUGUAAAGUAUUGCACUUGGGCAAAAAAAAUGAGAGGCACAAAUACAAGAUGGGGGACACCUGGCUUGAGAGCAGUACAUGUGAAAAGGAUCUAGGAGUCUUGGUUGACCACAAACUUCACAUGAGCCAACAGUGUGACGCGGCAGCUAAAAAAGCCAAUGCAAUUCUGGGCUGCAUCAAUAGGAGUAUAGCAUCUAGAUCAAGGGAAGUAAUAGUGCCACUGUAUUCUGCUCUGGUCAGACCUCACCUGGAGUACUGUGUCCAGUUCUGGGCACCACACUUCAAGAAGGACAUUGACAAACUGGAACGUGUCCAGAGGAGGGCAACCAAAAUGGUCAAAGGCCUGGAAACGAUGCCUUAUGAGGAACGGCUAAGAGAGCUGGGCAUGUUUAGCCUGGAGAAGAGGAGGUUAAGGGGUGAUAUGAUAGCCAUGUUCAAAUAUAUAAAAGGAUGUCACAUAGAGGAGGGAGAAAGGUUGUUUUCUGCUGCUCCAGAGAAGCGGACACGGAGCAAUGGAUCCAAACUACAAGAAAGAAGAUUCCACCUAAACAUUAGGAAGAACUUCCUGACAGUAAGAGCUGUUCGACAGUGGAAUUUGCUGCCAAGGAGUGUGGUGGAGUCUCCUUCUUUGGAGGUCUUUAAGCAGAGGCUUGACAACCAUAUGUCAGGAGUGCUCUGAUGGUGUUUCCUGCUUGGCAGGGGGUUGGACUCGAUGGCCCUUGUGGUCUCUUCCAACUCUAUGAUUCUAUGAUUCUA